Molecule: long non-coding RNA, 238 nt
Filed under: Brassica rapa (field mustard)
Lineage: Eukaryota; Viridiplantae; Streptophyta; Magnoliopsida; Brassicales; Brassicaceae
Description: long non-coding RNA (BRAP_LNC006585)
Source: RNAcentral
ACCUUUGGUCACACCUGAUCUUGCUAAUUUCUCAUCAAGCAGAACAGCUAGGGCAUCAAAUACACUCAAGCAUAAAGACAAUUCUCUAUAUAAACGAUGUGGGGUACUAAUAUUCAUUUCCAAAUUUUAAAACAAAGGUGACGUUAUGCAAGAAAAUUUAGCUAGCUACCUGAGUUACUUCUCCCAUUAUCUGGUUGGCUUGGCCCUGUUGGUAAUCGGUUAAAGCACAUUCAGAUUC